GGGUCAGUGGGUUGGUCGUGCCACCGGUACGUACUGGCCUCACUGAUUCCUCCUUCCUGAAGAACCGUAAUGCCAUUAAUUUGGUGUUGCGGGGAAACAGGACUGUUACUUUGAAAAAAUUAGAGUGUUUAAAGCAAGCUAACGCUUGAAUACAUUAGCAUGGAAUAAGUAAAUAGGACGAUCGAUCCUAUUUUGUUGGUUUCUAGGAUUGACGUA
RNAcentral lists this ribosomal RNA (216 nucleotides) under Glomeromycotina sp. RNAcentral's name for it is "partial small subunit ribosomal RNA". The stretch from base 40 to 216 matches the Rfam family "Eukaryotic small subunit ribosomal RNA", at positions 686 to 864 of the family's 1831-position model. The record is from RNAcentral. Lineage: Eukaryota; Fungi; Glomeromycota.